AGCGCAUACGGUGGAUGCCUUGGCAGUCAGAGGCGAUGAAAGACGUGGUAGCCUGCGAUAAGCUUUGGGGAGUCGGCAAACAGACUGUGAUCCAGAGAUCUCUGAAUGGGGGAACCCACUCAGCAUAAGCUGAGUAUCUUGUACUGAAUACAUAGGUGCAAGAGGCGAACCAGGGGAACUGAAACAUCUAAGUACCCUGAGGAAAAGAAAUCAACCGAGAUUCCCUUAGUAGUGGCGAGCGAACGGGGACCAGCCCUUAAGUUGAUUUGAGAUUAGUGGAACGCUCUGGAAAGUGCGGCCAUAGUGGGUGAUAGCCCCGUACACGAAAAUCUCUUGUCAAUGAAAUCGAGUAGGACGGAGCACGAGAAACUUUGUCUGAAUAUGGGGGGACCAUCCUCCAAGGCUAAAUACUACUGACUGACCGAUAGUGAACCAGUACCGUGAGGGAAAGGCGAAAAGAACCCCGGAGAGGGGAGUGAAAUAGAACCUGAAACCGUAUGCGUACAAGCAGUGGGAGCCUACUUGUUAGGUGACUGCGUACCUUUUGUAUAAUGGGUCAGCGACUUAUAUUCAGUGGCGAGCUUAACCGAAUAGGGGAGGCGUAGCGAAAGCGAGUCUUAAUAGGGCGUUUAGUCGCUGGGUAUAGACCCGAAACCGGGCGAUCUAUCCAUGGGCAGGUUGAAGGUUAGGUAACACUGACUGGAGGACCGAACCGACUACCGUUGAAAAGUUAGCGGAUGACCUGUGGAUCGGAGUGAAAGGCUAAUCAAGCUCGGAGAUAGCUGGUUCUCCUCGAAAGCUAUUUAGGUAGCGCCUCAUGUAUCACUCCAGGGGGUAGAGCACUGUUUCGGCUAGGGGGUCAUCCCGACUUACCAAACCGAUGCAAACUCCGAAUACCUGGAAGUGCCGAGCAUGGGAGACACACGGCGGGUGCUAACGUCCGUCGUGAAAAGGGAAACAACCCAGACCGUCAGCUAAGGUCCCAAAGUCAUGGUUAAGUGGGAAACGAUGUGGGAAGGCUUAGACAGCUAGGAGGUUGGCUUAGAAGCAGCCACCCUUUAAAGAAAGCGUAAUAGCUCACUAGUCGAGUCGGCCUGCGCGGAAGAUGUAACGGGGCUCAAACCAUGCACCGAAGCUACGGGUGUCAUCUUUGAUGACGCGGUAGAGGAGCGUUCUGUAAGCCUGUGAAGGUGAGUUGAGAAGCUUGCUGGAGGUAUCAGAAGUGCGAAUGCUGACAUGAGUAACGACAAUGCGAGUGAAAAACUCGCACGCCGAAAGACCAAGGUUUCCUGCGCAACGUUAAUCGACGCAGGGUUAGUCGGUCCCUAAGGCGAGGCUGAAAAGCGUAGUCGAUGGAAAACAGGUUAAUAUUCCUGUACUUCCAGUUAUUGCGAUGGAGGGACGGAGAAGGUUAGGCCAGCCUGGCGUUGGUUGUCCAGGUUUAAGGUGGUAGGCUGAAAUCUUAGGCAAAUCCGGGAUUUCAAGGCCGAGAGCUGAUGACGAGUUGCCUUUAGGCGACGAAGUGGUUGAUACCAUGCUUCCAAGAAAAGCUCCUAAGCUUCAGAUAACUGGGAACCGUACCCCAAACCGACACAGGUGGUUAGGUAGAGAAUACCAAGGCGCUUGAGAGAACUCGGGUGAAGGAACUAGGCAAAAUGGCACCGUAACUUCGGGAGAAGGUGCGCCGGCGAGGGUGAAGGACUUGCUCCGUAAGCCCAUGCCGGUCGAAGAUACCAGGCCGCUGCGACUGUUUAUUAAAAACACAGCACUCUGCAAACACGAAAGUGGACGUAUAGGGUGUGACGCCUGCCCGGUGCCGGAAGGUUAAUUGAUGGGGUUAGCGCAAGCGAAGCUCUUGAUCGAAGCCCCGGUAAACGGCGGCCGUAACUAUAACGGUCCUAAGGUAGCGAAAUUCCUUGUCGGGUAAGUUCCGACCUGCACGAAUGGCGUAACGAUGGCGGCGCUGUCUCCACCCGAGACUCAGUGAAAUUGAAAUCGCUGUGAAGAUGCAGUGUAUCCGCGGCUAGACGGAAAGACCCCGUGAACCUUUACUAUAGCUUUGCACUGGACUUUGAAUUUGCUUGUGUAGGAUAGGUGGGAGGCUUUGAAGUGGGGACGCCAGUUCUCAUGGAGCCAUCCUUGAAAUACCACCCUGGCAACUUUGAGGUUCUAACUCAGGUCCGUUAUCCGGAUCGAGGACAGUGUAUGGUGGGUAGUUUGACUGGGGCGGUCUCCUCCCAAAGAGUAACGGAGGAGUACGAAGGUGCGCUCAGACCGGUCGGAAAUCGGUCGUAGAGUAUAAAGGCAAAAGCGCGCUUGACUGCGAGACAAACACGUCGAGCAGGUACGAAAGUAGGUCUUAGUGAUCCGGUGGUUCUGUAUGGAAGGGCCAUCGCUCAACGGAUAAAAGGUACUCCGGGGAUAACAGGCUGAUACCGCCCAAGAGUUCAUAUCGACGGCGGUGUUUGGCACCUCGAUGUCGGCUCAUCACAUCCUGGGGCUGAAGCCGGUCCCAAGGGUAUGGCUGUUCGCCAUUUAAAGUGGUACGCGAGCUGGGUUUAGAACGUCGUGAGACAGUUCGGUCCCUAUCUGCCGUGGACGUUUGAGAUUUGAGAGGGGCUGCUCCUAGUACGAGAGGACCGGAGUGGACGAACCUCUGGUGUUCCGGUUGUCACGCCAGUGGCAUUGCCGGGUAGCUAUGUUCGGAAGAGAUAACCGCUGAAAGCAUCUAAGCGGGAAACUUGCCUCAAGAUGAGAUCUCACUGGGAUCUUGA
RNAcentral lists this ribosomal RNA (2774 nucleotides) under Pseudomonas sp. B22(2017). Its description in RNAcentral is "bacterial LSU rRNA". It matches the Rfam family "Bacterial large subunit ribosomal RNA". Lineage: Bacteria; Pseudomonadati; Pseudomonadota; Gammaproteobacteria; Pseudomonadales; Pseudomonadaceae. The record is from RNAcentral.